GACGCCUGCAGCAACCGAUGCCCUCGUAUCUUUGAAUUUUGUCCCAAACCAUGGUCAGUCAGGAACGCUACAGAAUUCCUCACUGGAGGCUGUUUUAGGGUCCCUGGCCAGAACUUCAGCUAAUAGGAGUCUGCAUCUCGAAUAGGA
This is a long non-coding RNA of Pipra filicauda (Wire-tailed manakin), 147 nucleotides long. RefSeq lists it as uncharacterized. NCBI's taxonomy places the organism in Eukaryota, Metazoa, Chordata, Aves, Passeriformes, Pipridae. The record is from RefSeq and is a predicted model, not a curated record. The transcript has 3 exons.